RNAcentral lists this long non-coding RNA (2432 nucleotides) under Elaeis guineensis (African oil palm). RNAcentral's name for it is "long non-coding RNA (EGUI_LNC071159)". The record is from RNAcentral. Lineage: Eukaryota; Viridiplantae; Streptophyta; Magnoliopsida; Arecales; Arecaceae.
CAGUGGAAUAAAAAUCAGAUCUAGAUUAAAUAAUUUAAUCUAUCUAACAUACAUGAUGUAGAUCUAAUCUACAUACAACAGGAUUGAUCACAUACUUUUAAGAUAUUAAAAUAAAAUCAGAUUUAAAUCAAAAAUAAAAAUCUGACAUCAGAUCUCGAUACUUUUGCAUGGAUAGCCUUUCACCGUAAUCUGAUAAUCAUGAAAUCUGAUGAGUUCUUUGUUAAGCCACACACGUAUUCGAUCUCUACAGACAUCCAUACAAAAUUUUUGAUCUGAUCAAAGGUCUGUGUCUUCAUCAAGAUGCUAGCUCUCUUGCAGAAGUCAUAUCUUUGAUGGUUGAUUCAAAUCCUUCUCUGGAUCUCUCAGACUCUCUAUAGAAGAGAAGAAAUAUCGAAGGAAUAAUAUGUGGAGAAGGAAGAAAGGAACCUAUGAGAAAAUCCUUUUUUCUCUUUUUCUCUCUUCCUAAAAAUCCCACACCAAUAUAGUAGGAGGAAAUCCUAGAGAAAUCAGCCCAUAAGAGGAGACCCUCUCCUCUUUUCUCAUGCACUAAGAAGGCCCGUCGCCCCUCUCUUAAUUUUUUCACGGACACCCUAUUGGUUUUUCAUGAUAAAACCUGAUCUCUCUUUCUUAUUACACAUCCCACACCCCUCUUUAAAUAGGCACCCAAGUAGUUACAAUAUGACUAGGUUUGAAAGUUUAAAACCUAACCAAAUUAGGACAUUCGUUUUCAUUCAAACUUAAACUAAUUUAUAUUCAAAUUAAACCUGAUCUAAAAGGGGAUAAGUAGGGACACAUGGAGGGUGUUGGGAUGGACACUCCUCACAAAAAUCUGAUUUCAUGUGAAGAAAUAAAGGGGCAUCUCAAGUUUGCAUGGAAUAGGGUGGCGGUUAGGAAGGAAAGGGUGUCUUGGUUUAGCCUCUAAUCGAUUCUUGGAUCAAUCCUAAUUAACUUAGAAAUUAGUUAUAACAAAUUAACUAAUUAGGUCCUAGCCCAAUUAAAAAUCUAAUUAGGCCCUAAUCUAAUUAGAAAAUUAGUUAGAUUAAACCCCAUCAAACUCGUGAUAGAUUUCGUGGAUAUAAGGUUAUAUCAUAAUCAAUAGAGCUUGAUCCAAUCAAAUCCAAAUUAAAUUAAAUUGAUCCUAAUUCAAUUAAAUUUAAUUCUAACCCCAUAGCUCAAUUAAAUUGAGUUCUAUUAUAAUCCAAUUGUAAAUUAAUCCUCCUACAACUCACUAACUCUUAGUGAAUUAUUUUAUUGCAACACUUGUACUUGAUUAAUCAUCAAUCACAUUGAUGAUUAGAUCCAAUAGCAAUUUAUAAUCGCUAAUCAACCAUCUGAUCGGAUAAAGACUUCUUUUAUGUGUAACUCCAUAGAUUUUAUUUUGUCUGAUAGUGAGAUAUAUUGUGAUCUCUAUCAAAAAAUCAUCGAAACUCCUUUUGAUGGGUUGAAACAAUUUUAACUCUAUCUAUUAAGGAUCAUCGAUCAUCAAGAUGAUGCUUAAUGAGUCUCACAAUCCACUAGUGACAUCUAGCAGUAUGUAGUGCAAUCCAGUAGAAUAAAAUAUUGAACCUCUAGGUGCAGUUAUCGUGUAGUUCGGUUCUUCUAUCAUGAGUUUCGAUAAGAAGUAGGUUGAGGAUAACUCGUCAAAUCUGUUUGUCCGUCAUAUGUCAGAUUCUAUCGACUCGAAUCUGUAUGAAAUCUUAUAGAAACUCUUUUCCAUCAUUCACCUAUCAUGACCAUAGAUUUUAAGACUCAGUCUUAUGAACUGUAUAGGAUCUCUCUUUGUCUACCAGGGUUGACAGAUUCCAUCUUGGUAUGCAUUCUAUUUCUACAAUAGACCUACUAUAGCCAACACACGCCAUAAGAUUCUGAAUGAUUAGGUAAUCAAAUAAUUGUACAAUCAAACUACAGCAAUCCUACUGUGAACAGCCGAGGCAUCGCAAGUCAAAGAACUAUUUAUACUACCGCAACUUUGAGUAAGUCACCGAUGAGUGAGUAGCCAUCCUAGUGGCUUCUUGUGUUGGUCACGCUUAAUACUCUUGAUCCCUAUCAAGUAUCUGUACUCUCACUCUAGUGUCGCCACACUGUUGACUCAAGACUUGUCUACUCAAGAAGGAAAGCGAUCUUUGCACUGAUCUAUCUAGAUCAAUCACUAUUUCUGUGAUGAUCCGUCGAUCGAAAGUAUUUAGAAAUUAACCACUAAUGACACGUGUCUCAAAUUUUCAACUCUUGAGAAUACGUAUCAUCAUCCGUCAAUUUUUUGGAUAAUUCAUAGACAUAAUUCAAACACAACAUGAAUGAAAAAUAAUCUAAAUUUUAUUUAUUUUAAAAUUUAAUUACAAAAUUAUGCCUCUAGAAUGUGUAUAUGUGUCAGCCAAUCUGGCUUCUAGGGUAUACAUCUAACAUUAGCCUCUCUAAUUGCUGUAAAUACCCAC